GAUGAAGAACGCAGCGAAAUGCGAUACUUGGUGUGAAUUGCAGAAUUCAGUGAAUCAUCGAAUCUUUGAACGCACAUUGCGCCCGCCAGUAUUCUGGCGGGCAUGCCUGUCCGAGCGUCAUUUCAACCCUCGAACCCCUCCGGGGGGUCGGCGUUGGGGAUCGGCCCUUUACGGGGCCGGCCCCGAAAUACAGUGGCGGUCUCGCCGCAGCCUCUCCUGCGCAGUAGUUUGCACACUCGCAUCGGGAGCGCGGCGCGUCCACAGCCGUUAAACACCCCAAACUUCUGAAAUGUUGACCUCGGAUCAGGUAGGAAUACCCGCUGAACUUAAGCAUAUCAAUAAGCGGAGGA
Molecule: unclassified non-coding RNA, 350 nt
Filed under: soil metagenome
Description: partial contains 5.8S ribosomal RNA, internal transcribed spacer 2, and large subunit ribosomal RNA
Rfam family: 5.8S ribosomal RNA (bases 1-120)
Source: RNAcentral